Non-coding RNA from Chrysemys picta bellii (western painted turtle), 604 nucleotides. Lineage: Eukaryota; Metazoa; Chordata; Testudines; Emydidae. The record is from RefSeq and is a predicted model, not a curated record.
CUAGCCUGAGGGGUUGUGAGCCCUGGGAGCUCCUUCAUUCCCCAGGAACAGCUGCAAGGCUGUAGAACAGCAUCUGAUUGGUCCGAUCCAAAGAUGGAGAUAACUAACCUGAGGGUUUGUGAGCCUUAGGAGCUCCUCCAUUCCCCAGGAACAGCUGCAAGGCCCCUGCAGCAAAGUCCAGGAGAGUUUUUUUCCCCCCAGCAACUGAUAUUGUUCCAGCAGCAAAGAGGAGGACACAGGACGGUUCAUCAGCACGGGCUGCGUAAGGUUCGUCCCUAGAUCGGCUGCACCACGAUGCUGCCAGAGGAGAGGGGAGCUUGCUCUUGGGGGUUGGAUGCGCUUGAACCACUAAUGAACCACUAACCAAAUGGGGGCUUCUCUUUGUGCUUCUCUUCCCUGGAGAGGCAUCAGGGCACUGGGGGUGGGGGUUACGGUUGCCAACCCUCCCAUUUUCACUGGUAGACUCCCAGAACCAGGCUCUAUCUCCUGAAGGCUCCUGAAGCCAAACGGGGAGAUUUUCGGCCGCUGAAAGUCCAGUGGCGAAGCAGUGCUAAGGCAGGUUCUCUGCCUACCCUGGAUCCACGCUACUCCCGGAAGUGGCACG